GGGCGCUUAGCUCAGCUGGUUCAGAGCAUCUCGUUUACACCGAGGGGGUCGGGGGUUCGAAAGUUCGAAUCCCUCAGCGCCCACCA
Molecule: transfer RNA, 86 nt
Filed under: Mangrovimonas sp.
Lineage: Bacteria; Pseudomonadati; Bacteroidota; Flavobacteriia; Flavobacteriales; Flavobacteriaceae
Description: tRNA-Val
Rfam family: tRNA
About the family: Transfer RNA (tRNA) molecules are approximately 80 nucleotides in length. Their secondary structure includes four short double-helical elements and three loops (D, anti-codon, and T loops).
Source: RNAcentral